GCUUCAGAAGAGGACCAGACGAUCCUGGCAGAAACACUUUGAAGUUGUAAAGAACAUAUUAUCUGCAUUAAAAAAUGGCUAGAGGAAGUCGCAGUGCCAGUCGGUCUUCGGCACCAACCAGGAGGCCACUCAACCUGUCUCCUCCCAGCCGGGCCCAUGCAUGUUUGAGGUGCGACACUUCCUGAACUGCGCCACCACUCAGGCAGACCUCAGCUUGUGCGAGGGUUUCAAUGAGGUGCUCAAACAGUGCAAAGGCUCACACGGUGUUACAUCACUGGUUUGAUCAAGGAUGUUAGGAGUCAAAACAAGACACCGUUUUCAGAUAAACACACCGUAGAGUAGACAGAUGUGCCACUCGGUCAUUAAAUGAAUUCUAUUCAACUCUCCACUGUAACAUGCGUUGAUAUGUCACAAUGUAUGCUGUAUUAUUUUUUUUGUCAUGUACAGUGGGGCAAAAAUGUAUUUAGUCAGCCACCAAUUGUGCAAGUUCUCGCACUUAAAAAGAUGAGAGAGGUCUGUAAUUUUCAUCAUAGGUACACUUCAACUAUGACAGACAAAAUGAGAAAAAAAAUCCAGAGAAUCACAUUGUAGGAUUUUUAAUUAAUUUAUUUGCAAAUUAUGGUGGAAAGUAAGUAUUUGGUCAAUAACAAAAGUUUAUCUCAAUACUUUGUUAUAUACCCUUUGUUUGCAAUACAGAGGUCAAACGUUUUCUGUAAGUCUUCACAAGGUUUUCACACACUGUUGCUGGUAUUUUGGCCCAUUUCUCCAUGCAGAUCUCCUCUAGAGCAGUGAUGUUUUGGGGCUGUUGCUGGGCAACAUGGACUUUCAACUCCCUCCAAAGAUUUUCUAUGGGGUUGAGAUCUGGAGACUGGCUAGGCCACUCCAGGACCUUGAAAUGCUUCUUACCAAGCCAUUCCUUCGUUGCCCGGGAGGUGUGUUUGGGAUCAUUGUCAUGCUGAAAGACCCAGCCACGUUUCAUCUUCAAUGCCCUUGCUGAUGGAAGGAGGUUUUCACUCAAAAUCUCACGAUACAUGGCCCCAUUCAUUCUUUCCUU
Long non-coding RNA from Oncorhynchus masou masou (cherry salmon), 1054 nucleotides. RefSeq lists it as uncharacterized. NCBI's taxonomy places the organism in Eukaryota, Metazoa, Chordata, Actinopteri, Salmoniformes, Salmonidae. The transcript is spliced from 3 exons. The record is from RefSeq and is a predicted model, not a curated record.